CGAUGCUAAAAUGAAAUAACCACUAAUUCCUUUUAUGUUAAAAUCCUUAUUUUCCUAGAGAAAACCUCCGCGGAUCUGAUAUGUGGAGAUCAUCAUUCAGACCAGACUUUGUGUUAUCCACCAAUUGUCAAGUCAUAUCAUAUUCUUCAAGGAGUUGGUAAUUGAAACAUUAAAACAAAACAAUGGACAUCUGCUAAUUUAUACAAGGAAACUGGAAAUAUGUUGCUAGCUUUCACUCUGAAAUUAGAUCAAAUAGUUGGCUCAUAAUUGCCAUUAAAUACUACUGUUGUUUUCUGCUAUCACCAUUACCGAUAGAAUAUGGAACGUACUCAAAAGAUAAUACAACAGGAAACCCUCAAAAAAGAAACAAAAGGGUUCUGUUUUACUUUGUUUUUGUGUUUCAAGAUGAAAUUGACAUUUGAUUCGUUGGUUUCUUUACUCAGUAUAUAGAGGCUAAUUUUUCCAGACUGGGUAGAGUUGAUCAGAAUAUAAUGUGGACGAGCUCCCUUCUCCCUCAUAUCUAAUUUGGGAAUAGAGGGUCACUCAUGUGUUAAUGUUUCCUUUCUUAAGUUUAAACAUUUAUUUCUCUUCUCCUUGAUAUUGAUAACACAAUUGUUUUAUCAGACUGUAGGUAAAAAUAAGCAUUGCAGAAGACUAUUGAAUCAGCAAAACAAUGCUUAU
This 681-nucleotide long non-coding RNA is filed under the name Solanum tuberosum (potato). Its description in RNAcentral is "long non-coding RNA (STUB_LNC004326)". Lineage: Eukaryota; Viridiplantae; Streptophyta; Magnoliopsida; Solanales; Solanaceae. The record is from RNAcentral.